This 62-nucleotide ribosomal RNA is filed under the name uncultured bacterium. RNAcentral describes it as "partial 16S ribosomal RNA". The record is from RNAcentral.
GUUGGUUCUUGGCGAGGUUGCGCCUAAUUGGCGCUAUCGAACCUAGGGUCAGCAACGGGGAG